This 542-nucleotide ribosomal RNA is filed under the name Cryptosporidium parvum. RNAcentral describes it as "SSU rRNA". It matches the Rfam family "Eukaryotic small subunit ribosomal RNA", at positions 325 to 907 of the family's 1831-position model. Lineage: Eukaryota; Apicomplexa; Conoidasida; Eucoccidiorida; Cryptosporidiidae. RNAcentral also lists the same sequence under 1 other name. The record is from RNAcentral.
AGACGGUAGGGUAUUGGCCUACCGUGGCUAUGACGGGUAACGGGGAAUUAGGGUUCGAUUCCGGAGAGGGAGCCUGAGAAACGGCUACCACAUCUAAGGAAGGCAYCAGGCGCGCAAAUUACCCAAUCCUGACACAGGGAGGUAGUGACAAGAAAUAACAAUACAGGGCCUAACGGUCUUGUAAUUGGAAUGAGUGAAGUAUAAACCCCUUUACGAGUAUCAAUUGGAGGGCAAGUCUGGUGCCAGCAGCCGCGGUAAUUCCAGCUCCAAUAGCGUAUAUUAAAGUUGUUGCAGUUAAAAAGCUCGUAGUUGGAUUUCUGUUGUAUAACCUGUAAUAUUACUAAGGUAUAUAUAAUAUAAUCAACAUCCUUCCUAUUAUAUUUCUAAAUAUAUAGGAAACUUUACUUUGAGAAAAUUAGAGUGCUUAAAGCAGGCAACUGCCUUGAAUACUCCAGCAUGGAAUAAUAAGUAAGGACUUUUGUCUUUCUUAUUGGUUCUAGGACAAAAGUAAUGGUUAAUAGGGACAGUUGGGGGCAUUCGUA